GGGGCCAUGGCUCAGUGGUAGAGCCUCUGUUUGGCAUGCAGAAGGUGCCGGGUUCAAUCCUUGGCAUCUCCA
RNAcentral lists this transfer RNA (72 nucleotides) under Sphaerodactylus townsendi. RNAcentral's name for it is "tRNA-Ala". It matches the Rfam family "tRNA". Rfam says of the family: Transfer RNA (tRNA) molecules are approximately 80 nucleotides in length. Lineage: Eukaryota; Metazoa; Chordata; Lepidosauria; Squamata; Sphaerodactylidae. The record is from RNAcentral.